GGUGCUUCUCGGUGACACACCCUGGAAUUGGGCUCCCUCCUCUCUGGUUCUGGGUGCAUCACCCAAGAACCACA
Non-coding RNA from Myotis brandtii (Brandt's bat), 74 nucleotides. The record is from Rfam. NCBI's taxonomy places the organism in Eukaryota, Metazoa, Chordata, Mammalia, Chiroptera, Vespertilionidae.